Juglans microcarpa x Juglans regia is the source of this 246-nucleotide long non-coding RNA. RefSeq lists it as uncharacterized. The transcript has 2 exons. Lineage: Eukaryota; Viridiplantae; Streptophyta; Magnoliopsida; Fagales; Juglandaceae. The record is from RefSeq and is a predicted model, not a curated record.
UAAAGACUCAUUCCAUUCAUCAUUGUUUGGAAAUAAAAUCAUUCUUGCAAACCAAAGGCAUUAGGUAUAAGCCCAAACUAUUAUAUAAAGUAUCAUCAAUUAAUUAGCAUUUUGCGACGAAAAGAUGCAGGCUUAAACUACUCAAUGAAAUUUCUACACUCCACAGAUCAAUAAAAGACUAACUGCUGAGAACAAGCAAAAGGAUGAAAUUUAUUUUAUCUUUUUUUCUUUAAUUUAAGUUUAAAA